UCUUUCCUGUCAUGAGUUUCUUUCUCAACUCAUUUAGUUCCAGGUUCAGUGAUUCCUCGUUCUUUGCAUCCUCCCUUGUAUCUCACCACUGUUUCCAUUUCUCUGCAGCAGCUGUUUGUUCCUCUGAUAAAGAUGUCUCCUCAGAUCCUGUGUCACAGAACCGUGAUGCAGAGGCAGCCUCCAAAAGCUCUCUAGGUGGCUGAAAUAUCUGAAAAUCUUUUUUUGUUUGUUGAAGCAAAUGCAGAUAAGGUUUUUGGAGAGGAACACGAGUUCUUCUGUUUUCACAUACAAUUUUUAGACCCCAGUUUUGGAGGUCUAAGAAUUUUGAGUAGGACUUCAAACGUAUAUAUGAUCGUAAUAUUUUUUAUAGAGGUCUGACCAGCGUUCUAAAGCCAACUCGUACCGUAUUCCUGAUAUUUUCAGAAAGCCUUAAAAAGCAAGUACCCCUGCCUGCUUCCUCAAACUCCCGAUUACUACAAUCACACUUGGAGUAGAAGAGUCUACCGCAGUGCUAUUGAAAAGAUUUAUUUCAAAACAGUAUUUUAGUUUGAGCCUUUGUGGUUUCAAGGCCAAGAUUGCUUAUCCCAUUUCAACUAAGAAGAAUAAAAGGGAAGAAGCCUGCAAAAAGUUCACGUUCCUCUCUCUAACAUCAAGUUGCUAAGUAACUACUAGUAUAAGACCUCACUCCUGAAGAACACCUCCUAAUUUUUGCCUUUCAGAUUUUCAUGCAGCAUAAAGGGUGAGCACGUAUCUGAAGUAUAACAUCAGCAUGUCACAACUGUGGGAAGAACAAAGAACGUAUAAUUGUUCAGAUUUCUUUAGUCAUACUUGCCAUGACCCCAUGAAUAUUACUUUGGAAACCACAAGAAUUUCUCUGUGCUACUGACUGCUUUGCCACCGAGAUCCUCUCACUGCUAGUGACAAUUUGCCUUUCUCAAGGAAAUGUCCUCAGUGGCCUCUACAGGGGGAUCAAAGUUCAUUAAGCAAGGAUCUUACUUCCUAACACUUCUAAGUAAAUGUUAUUACUCUACUUUCUUAAAGUGACUUUUUUUUUUUUUUUUUUUUGUCUUUGUAGUUACAUAGCUUUCCAUAAAAUACAAAUUAGUUUUGUCCUAAGCCACCACAAUAGCCUGUUUCCUUUGAGGAAAGAUCUAAAUAGGUAACAGGAAACAGAGCAGCAGAGCAAUCUUCUCACACUGCCCUUUUUGACCUGAUGUUCACUCUAGGGCAAGAAUGCUCUGUGGGUCAAGCUAUUAUUUAAUCAUUCAUUUAAAGACUGCUGGAUAUAGCUGGGGGUAGCUCAGGCCCAUGGAUUCCUCACUUCUAAAAAACAGAUCGACUCUUUAGAAGUUAGGCUUUUUUCAAAAAUAUAUGUAUUUUUUUCAAGUGUGAUUUCUCAAGUCAUGCUUCGGUCUACUCUGAAAAUCAGAACGUAACUUGAGAGUGAUGAAAUGUUUGUUCCCAUAAAGUAAAUGUUAUAUGCGUUCUUCUACAUAAAGAACAUAAUAGGACACUUCAGAACAUAAACGAAGCACGUAUAUAUAUACAUACAUACACACACACAAACUUUCCUACGUUUGAGGUCUUGAGGUCUUGACUUGCUUCAAAUAGUUUACAGUAAGAGUUAACAGAGUUAGAUUUACUCUAAGACACGUUUAAGGGAAUCUUUGUUAGUGCCACAACAUAGAAAGGCAAUGAUUAUAACACUUAUUUCCUUGUCUUAUCAAAUCAUUGUCAGUAAAAUAUAAUUCAGCAGUAAAACAACUGAAAAAACAGAAGAGUGAAAACAUAAGCAUACAUGUCAACAGCAGCAAUACAUAGUCUGCAUUGUACUAGAUCAGCUAAGGUUGAUCCCCUGACAGAAAUGUCAAAUAAAACUACUCCAUGUAACAAAGUGGUUGAAAACCAGGAUGCAAAUAAGAAGGCUUACAUGCCAUAGAAAAUAAUACAAGAAAAAUGAUUCAGUAGCAAGUUACACAGCACUGCCAGAGCACUUUUACAACUGUGACAGUUUCCUCAUAUUACAAGGUAAAGAACUACAGAACAGCUGGUUUAGUGACAUGGUGAAAGUCACAGCGAAGUGAGAUUGGACCCAACUCUCGCUGCAACCCAGAUUUUUAUCAUCAAAUUGGACAAGUAAUAAUCAAACUUUGCAGUCCAGCAUCUGAAUAGAUCUCAGACACAUUGUGGGAUAGAUAUAUUCAAGCUACGUAUGCCAUUUGUCUAGUAUUUAUCUGUGUGCAUCUCUCAAAACUGCUCAGCCUUACAGUUUUCUCAGAAUUCUAGUUAAAUGUAUUUGAGCUAUUGCUGAAGAAGUAAAACUUCUUCAACAGAAGUAAAAUAAGUUAGAAGUUAAUAAGUUAGGUUGUUGAAGAAGUUUUACUUCUUUACUGUUGAAGAAGUAAAACUUCUUCAACAACCUAACUUAUUAACAAUUUUUAAUCUUUUUUUUUUUAAUGGUCUGCAGACAUUUAAGGAUUCUUUUUACUUUGUCCAAGAGCAGGCAUUGUGACAGUACAAAAUCAAUUCCUUGACUCCAUACACAAUCAGCAUUUAUAGACAUCUGCAAGCUCCCCAUGUUAUUUGUGUGCAGUUUCAAUUCACAGCUGAGAAACAUAACAAUCAAACAAAAUUAAAUAGUACACUCAUAACAAAGUCAAAAUGUACAUUUCAUUAGCUGUUAUACUGAAAAAUGUAUUUAAUUCACCACAAAUCAUCUUUAAUUUUCAAAUUCAUACGUUGCUUGCUCCUACUAGACUAACCAUUAACAUUUGGGCAAUCUAGAAGCAAUUUCAAGACCUCCAGUCAAGCUUGUUUUUUGCAGUAUUAACACCAAAUCUAAUUUAAAAUUUGCAGUGACACCAUGGUAUUGUAAUAAAUUCUUUCUUUAGAAAAAAUAUAUGCAUGUGCCAAAUUCUCAUACUUGGCAGGCAAAGCACAAUUAUGCAGUAUUCUUUCUAUUCUGAAGACAGCAAAUGACAUCCAGUUCUUCACAGUGGAAGAAAGUUACACUAAAGAAAGUUACAUUAAGCACAAAGAGACUAACCAUAGCUGCUGUGCUAUAGUCAGAAGCGUUAUUAAGUUUGCAUUAUAAGAGCAUGGGAUUUCAAAAAACUGCAUAAUCAGAGAGUUUCAAACAAUACAUGCAAAAUCAAGGAGUGGUUCUGCUCUUCCGCUGAACCAGACCCCAAACACUCAUUGGUUUGCCAGUCAGGAAUGUACAUAGUAGAAAAAGAUACAGAAAAGAAAAAACAUGUUCAAGAGUGUAAGUGUUCUUCUACAGCUCAGGUAAAACAGCAAUAUUAAAAAGCAAAGCAGAAGAGUUUUAAUUUUUAAAAGCACAAACGUGCUAUUGGAAAAUGUGGCUGACUCAAAAAUUCUGGCUGGAGUUUUCCCUGACUGAAGUGCUAAUCUCAGCAUGGCAACUUGCAUGUGCAUUCCUUUUUGUGGGUCAGAACGUAGCAUCUUUAUUACAAUGAGGUAGCGACAUAAAUCCAGGAAAUUCAUGACUGUGUACUGGGCAUGUCAAUAUUUUUUGAAUAAAAUACUGGUACACUAAUCCAACUGCAUGGAAAUACCAAGCUGUUCUUUGAAAAUAAUUAUUGAUUUGUGCCUUAAAUUCUUUUGGCAGAGACCAUACCACAUGGGAUGCUGAACAGAGUUUCCUGUAGUUUACAGCCUCACAGUGGUAAUUAUAUGAAACUGUCUUUAGACACUGCCAGUGGAGCUUUUAAAUGGAAUAGGAAGAAUUCCUGUAGAACACCAGAAGUCUUUCAUCAUACCUCUACAUUAUCCAAAUAAAAUCAUGAUUACUUCCAUAUGAUCUUAAUUCUCAUUACAAAAGUAUAUUUUAAUUGACUUUAUGUAGAGUUAUAAAAAAGCUGAAAAGACCAUUUACCCUCCAUAGAAGCUGCUAGAAGAAAACCUGACUUUCAUGUAGAAUUUAAAUAUAUCUAAUGUGAAAAUAUUUGUGGCAUACUAGCAUUCAUUCGUUGUUUUUAGAAUACCUAUGAUAUUCUAAAUUUGAAUAGAAUUAAAAUAUAUCAUGUUAAUAAAUAAAGAAUAAUAUGUUCUUUACUCACCAGAUUUUGUGAAGUAUAUGCUACUGAUUUAUAAAAUUCCAAUUACUCUUAACACUGUAUAGGUCUAGAGUAAAGAAAUAUUUAAAUAUAGCUCAGGCAUGUUCAGGACCUGCAUGAGACUGAAGUCAGACUCUCUAAACAUGGACUACAGCAAUGCAUUUAACUUCUUAAAGCACAUUGUGUCUAGGCAUUCACGCAAACAACUUCCCUUCCAGUUAAGAUUAGUAGCCUGUAUCAUACAGUAACAAUUUACUUCCAAAGUCCUGUAAAAGAUUCUAUUGAAUCGGUAUUCUACAAAAUGGAUAAAUAUUUCACAGGCAUUCAGUUGGAAAAUACAAAAGGUGUACAUACAGUGGGAGCGUUCCUUUAAAUUGAAACAUACAUGCAUUCAAAUUUAAAAUAUAACCUGAAACACCUAAACAAAAAAAUUUUAAAAAGAGGCUUCUUGACUAGGCAAUGAGAAAGCAACUCCCCUGUCAGGGGACACAUCAACCAGUUUCUCUCUUCCUGAUGCUUAGUCACCUCUCCUGGCCAUAUUUUAUAUUCUCCUUCCUCAAACUGUACUCUAACAUAACAGUACAGUCAUUCUUCCUCUACUCCUAUCUCUGUUCUUAUUCUCUUUUUAUUUUCCUUUCCCCCAUGACCUCUCAGACAGUGAGCGUGGGUUUUCCAAAUCCCCCAGGCUCCACUCCAACCCAAGCUGGAAUAAUUAAGCAGGAGCUCAGAUCCCAAACUAGACCUGGCUUUCAUCUGCAAGAAACAUCAUUUUUACCAAGAACGAAGAAAGCAGCAACUACCUGGAUUAUGAUCAGUUUGGUCAUUCAAAUAAAGAACAACAUUUCAAAGUAUGGAAAAUUCUAGAAAUCGAAUACAGCUUUACAGAACAAACGAGAUCAAAAUUGCCCAAGCACGUUUUAAGUACCCGCUGAUACAAUUCUUGAAAAUACAUAUAUGUUUUCCUCUCAGAAUCAUAACAUCAACAAGGAAACAGUAUCUGUAGUUAUAUUUCAUUUAUGACAACAAACGAGGCACAGCCUGCCACCUGUUCCCCACCCUGUCUGCUGCAUUUUUUCUCCCCUUCUUCUGCAAAGGGAAGAGGAGACUAGAAAACACUUCAGUAGUUCUUAAGACAAACAAACAAAAAACACAAUCAAAAAAAGUAAAAUUACUCACCAAAACACUAAAAAUCAACACCAUCCCUCCCACAGCCGUGAGGGUUCUCACAACUGCCUCCGUCACAAUGUGCAUCAACUGCCGCCAUUUUGUGGCACCCGUGAGGCGCAGCUUCCCUCUGUCUCGUGCGUACCUGGCCUCUCGUGUACCCUGACCGAGCGGGCAGGGGAAGAGGCGCUCCCUGCGGGUGUGAGGCUGAGGGGAAAACUGCUUGAGAAAAAGGAUCGCGAAAACGACGGCAGAGAGAAGAAAACACGUUUCUAAGUCGCUCUUGAUCCGCCAGCUCCGUGUUUUUGGAAGCCUAGGAGCCCCGCCUGGCACUCCCGCUCCCCUUGGCAACGUACACAAACGCCCUUCGGCGAUCGCUGCUGCUCGGCUGUGAAAUGGCGGCCUCUGCUGCCUCCCCGCCUCGAGGCGCUGCUCCCGCCCCAAGUGCGAAGGAAACUGUCCUGGAGAACGGGUGAGGUGCCUGAAGACUGGAGGAAAGCCAGCGUCAUGCUGGUCUUCAAAAAAGGUAGGAAGGAGGAUCUGGGAAGUGACAGGUAAGUGUUCGGAGCGGGGCUGCGCCCCCCACUCGUCCGACGGGGCUGCGCCCCCACUCGU
Anas platyrhynchos (mallard) is the source of this 5858-nucleotide non-coding RNA. The record is from RefSeq and is a predicted model, not a curated record. NCBI's taxonomy places the organism in Eukaryota, Metazoa, Chordata, Aves, Anseriformes, Anatidae.